GACAGGCCACAAUAGACUGCUCCUUUCCCAGAUUACAAAAACGUAGUAACUUCCCCUUGUGAUGUCUCCGAAGGAUUCUUUGGAAGAAGGCAUCUAACAGUUCCUGUGAAAGACAUCAAUGGAAUCCUCACUUUCAAGAAAAUCACAAUUAGAGGCUGGAAAAAGAUUAAAGAGAUACAGAAUUGCUGUCAUGAAGCUUUCAACACGAAGCUUGACAUUCAAAUUGAAAUCUCAAACUGCUACUGAUAUUGGAGAGGAAACAGAAAAGGAUUAGAAGAAGAAAUAGUAGAGAAUUUUUUCACUAAAUCUAUUCUGGAUUAUAUUAUGUACUUGGGUCUUGUGGUAGUGAUAUGUUUAAUGCAAAUUGACACAAUAAUGAACUUUGCUGAACAGAUAUUAUAGUACUAUGAAUUUCAUUGAUAUCUAUAUAUCCCUAUCUAAAUUCCAUAAUUUCACAUAAUAAAAUAUAUUUGUAUCAAUUGUG
This is a long non-coding RNA of Pipra filicauda (Wire-tailed manakin), 484 nucleotides long. RefSeq lists it as uncharacterized. The transcript is spliced from 4 exons. Lineage: Eukaryota; Metazoa; Chordata; Aves; Passeriformes; Pipridae. The record is from RefSeq and is a predicted model, not a curated record.